Molecule: long non-coding RNA, 211 nt
Organism: Myotis davidii
Lineage: Eukaryota; Metazoa; Chordata; Mammalia; Chiroptera; Vespertilionidae
Exons: 2
Source: RefSeq, a predicted model, not a curated record
UUGUCUGUGCGGUGAGUUGUGGCGGGUAGGCCUCGGGUACUCGGGCCCCGGAGCCGGGUGGGAGGCGAGUGGCCAGCGGUGAUGACAUAUCAAUCAAAGCACGUGUUAGACUGCUGACAAGGGUCCGGCCGGCCGAGGACGUCGGAUCCGUUGCCCUCCCAGCUAUUCGACCCUUCCCUGAAGGCUCUCAAUAAAACAGAUUGUUCCUACC